Molecule: long non-coding RNA, 984 nt
Filed under: Vitis vinifera (wine grape)
Lineage: Eukaryota; Viridiplantae; Streptophyta; Magnoliopsida; Vitales; Vitaceae
Description: long non-coding RNA (VVIN_LNC005227)
Source: RNAcentral
ACAACCCCAACUCCUCCCCCUCCGGCACUCCACUACUCUCCCUCUCUCCUCUCCUCUCCCAUUUACACUUUCCUCCAUUUCCAUCCUGGACCUCAGUUUAGGCCUGGAACAGAAGCAACAUCUUAUAUGAUACAUCCACUACCACUUCAAUCAAGCCAAGGGCAGAAAAGGGGAGAUCAGCCUGAAAUGCUUUGAGGGCAGAGAUUCAGGGGGGAUGUGUAUUAGUGUCUGAUGGUAAGCUCGGCCCUGAGAUGGAGGAUACCGUUGAUGAAGUAUAGACUGUCUUCAGCCACAAAGGAGGUCCAUGGUAUGGCAAAUAAGUUUCGGUACCCAACUGCCUUGCCUCCUGUGAAUGUGUAGUUUCCUUUGUAUUUGCUGAUGUACUCCUCUGUUGGUUUUGACCUUGCUGCAAACUCGUAGUCUACGGCGAAAGUCACUGAACCCUUUUCUUGCAUUCCCAGAAACAGGCCAAAGCAAUGGAUAGAGCUCUGCUGGUCCAUGUUGCAGUGUGCUGAGAGGAAGAAGCCUUGUCCCCCCAAGUGGAAUGCCUGAGAAUAUACCCGUCCGGAUGGGAAUAGAUUUAUGCACUCCUCCCGCUUUAGAUCCAGGUAAACAACACAUUGCUGUCGAGGAAGUUCAAACUCCACAACCUUGACUGGACGAUACUUGUAGGCCCGCUCCACGAAGCGACGGUUGGUGAGGGCGGAGUCCUCUGCAGCCAGGCUUCGCUGCCGAUGAGGGGCCUCAGCCUUGAAAAAUAGAGCCUCCAGCACAGCCUUGGAUGCAAGGUCGUGAUCAAAGUCAUUGCAGGUUAGAACCUUCUUAAGCUUCCUGCAGGUCAUAUAGGGGAAGCGGAUGAAGCGGCCCAGGCGUGUACCAAGGAUUUCACGCCGCUCCUCCAAUUUUGGGUACUGAGCCCUGGCCCACUUCAACACAAAAUCAUACACUGCAUCCUCUGAUGCAACCUGGAGAUCAUCACUGGAC